CAGGCUUAACACAUGCAAGUCGAGGGGCAUCAGGAAGAAAGCUUGCUUUCUUUGCUGGCGACCGGCGCACGGGUGAGUAACACGUAUCCAACCUGCCCUUUACUCGGGGAUAGCCUUUCGAGAGAAAGAUUAAUACCCGAUAGCAUAAUGAUUCCGCAUGGUUUCAUUAUUAAAGGAUUCCGGUAAAGGAUGGGGAUGCGUUCCAUUAGGUUGUUGGUGAGGUAACGGCCCACCAAGCCUUCGAUGGAUAGGGGUUCUGAGAGGAAGGUCCCCCACAUUGGAACUGAGACACGGUCCAAACUCCUACGGGAGGCAGCAGUGAGGAAUAUUGGUCAAUGGGCGCUAGCCUGAACCAGCCAAGUAGCGUGAAGGAUGACGGCUCUAUGGGUCGUAAACUUCUUUUAUAUAAGAAUAAAGUGCAGUAUGUAUACUGUUUUGUAUGUAUUAUAUGAAUAAGGAUCGGCUAACUCCGUGCCAGCAGCCGCGGUAAUACGGAGGAUCCGAGCGUUAUCCGGAUUUAUUGGGUUUAAAGGGAGCGUAGGUGGACUGGUAAGUCAGUUGUGAAAGUUUGCGGCUCAACCGUAAAAUUGCAGUUGAUACUGUCAGUCUUGAGUACAGUAGAGGUGGGCGGAAUUCGUGGUGUAGCGGUGAAAUGCUUAGAUAUCACGAAGAACUCCGAUUGCGAAGGCAGCUCACUGGACUGCAACUGACACUGAUGCUCGAAAGUGUGGGUAUCAAACAGGAUUAGAUACCCUGGUAGUCCACACAGUAAACGAUGAAUACUCGCUGUUUGCGAUAUACAGUAAGCGGCCAAGCGAAAGCAUUAAGUAUUCCACCUGGGGAGUACGCCGGCAACGGUGAAACUCAAAGGAAUUGACGGGGGCCCGCACAAGCGGAGGAACAUGUGGUUUAAUUCGAUGAUACGCGAGGAACCUUACCCGGGCUUAAAUUGCAGUGGAAUGAUGUGGAAACAUGUCAGUGAGCAAUCACCGCUGUGAAGGUGCUGCAUGGUUGUCGUCAGCUCGUGCCGUGAGGUGUCGGCUUAAGUGCCAUAACGAGCGCAACCCUUAUCUUUAGUUACUAACAGGUUAUGCUGAGGACUCUAGAGAGACUGCCGUCGUAAGAUGUGAGGAAGGUGGGGAUGACGUCAAAUCAGCACGGCCCUUACGUCCGGGGCUACACACGUGUUACAAUGGGGGGUACAGAAGGCAGCUAGCGGGUGACCGUAUGCUAAUCCCAAAAUCCUCUCUCAGUUCGGAUCGAAGUCUGCAACCCGACUUCGUGAAGCUGGAUUCGCUAGUAAUCGCGCAUCAGCCACGGCGCGGUGAAUACGUUCCCGGGCCUUGUACACACCGCCCGUCAAGCCAUGGGAGCCGGGGGUACCUGAAGUACGUAACCGCAAGGAUCGUCCUAGGGUAAAACUGGUGACUGGGGCUAAGUCAUAAC
Molecule: ribosomal RNA, 1446 nt
Filed under: uncultured organism
Description: 16S ribosomal RNA
Rfam family: Bacterial small subunit ribosomal RNA
Source: RNAcentral